Molecule: ribosomal RNA, 433 nt
Filed under: uncultured bacterium
Lineage: Bacteria
Description: bacterial SSU rRNA
Rfam family: Bacterial small subunit ribosomal RNA
Source: RNAcentral
GAACGCGAAGAACCUUACCAGGUCUUGACAUCCCUCUGACCGCUCUAGAGAUAGAGCUUUCCUUCGGGACAGAGGUGACAGGUGGUGCAUGGUUGUCGUCAGCUCGUGUCGUGAGAUGUUGGGUUAAGUCCCGCAACGAGCGCAACCCCUAUUGUUAGUUGCCAUCAUUCAGUUGGGCACUCUAGCGAGACUGCCGGUAAUAAACCGGAGGAAGGUGGGGAUGACGACAAAUCAUCAUGCCCCUUAUGACCUGGGCUACACACGUGCUACAAUGGCUGGUACAACGAGUCGCAAGCCGGUGACGGCAAGCUAAUCUCUUAAAGCCAGUCUCAGUUCGGAUUGUAGGCUGCAACUCGCCUACAUGAAGUCGGAAUCGCUAGUAAUCGCGGAUCAGCACGCCGCGGUGAAUACGUUCCCGGGUCUUGUACACACC